RNAcentral lists this ribosomal RNA (468 nucleotides) under uncultured bacterium. RNAcentral's name for it is "partial 16S ribosomal RNA". It matches the Rfam family "Bacterial small subunit ribosomal RNA", at positions 28 to 507 of the family's 1533-position model. The record is from RNAcentral.
GACGAACGCUGGCGGCGUGCUUAACACAUGCAAGUCGAACGGAAAGGCCCUGCUUUUGUGGGGUGCUCGAGUGGCGAACGGGUGAGUAACACGCGAGUAACCUGCCCUUGACUUUGGGAUAACUUCAGGAAACUGGGGCUAAUACCGGAUAGGAGCUCCUGCUGCAUGGUGGGGGUUGGAAAGUUUCGGCGGUUGGGGAUGGACUCGCGGCUUAUCAGCUUGUUGGUGGGGUAGGGGCUGACCAAGGCUUUGACGGGUAGCCGGCCUGGGAGGGUGACCGGCCUCAUGGGGACUGAGAGAGGGCGCAGACGGCUACGGGCGGCAGCAGUGGAGAAUAUGGCACAACGGGGGGGCGCCUGAGGCAGAAACGCCGGGUGCGGGAUGAUGGGUUUCGGGGGGUAAACCGCUUUCGACGGUGACGAAGCGGGAGUGACGGUAACGGGUAAAAAAGCACCGGCUAACUACGUG